GACGAACGCUGGCGGCGUGCCUAAUACAUGCAAGUCGUGCGGACCUUGUUGAAAGCUUGCUUUUAAAAGGUUAGCGGCGGACGGGUGAGUAACACGUGGGCAACCUGCCUGUAAGACUGGGAUAACGCCGGGAAACCGGGGCUAAUACCAGAUCGUUUUUUCCUCCGCAUGGAGGAAAAAGGAAAGGCGGCUUCGGCUGCCACCUACAGAUGGGCCCGCGGCGCAUUAGCUAGUUGGCGGGGUAAUGGCCCACCAAGGCAACGAUGCGUAGCCGACCUGAGAGGGUGAUCGGCCACAUUGGGACUGAGACACGGCCCAAACUCCUACGGGAGGCAGCAGUAGGGAAUCUUCCGCAAUGGACGAAAGUCUGACGGAGCAACGCCGCGUGAGUGAAGAAGGCCUUCGGGUCGUAAAACUCUGUUGCCGGGGAAGAACAAGUGCCGUUCGAACAGGGCGGCGCCUUGACGGUACCCGGCCAGAAAGCCACGGCUAACUACGUG
This 500-nucleotide ribosomal RNA is filed under the name uncultured bacterium. RNAcentral's name for it is "partial 16S ribosomal RNA". It matches the Rfam family "Bacterial small subunit ribosomal RNA", at positions 28 to 507 of the family's 1533-position model. The record is from RNAcentral.